This is a long non-coding RNA of Asparagus officinalis (garden asparagus), 241 nucleotides long. RefSeq lists it as uncharacterized. The transcript has 3 exons. NCBI's taxonomy places the organism in Eukaryota, Viridiplantae, Streptophyta, Magnoliopsida, Asparagales, Asparagaceae. The record is from RefSeq and is a predicted model, not a curated record.
CCACUAUCCAUCAUUAGAUUGGUGAUUCGGACGGAGAGUGUUGAAUUCAUGCCUUUCUACUUGACUCUUUCAACCUUCUUGAUGAGUAUCUCAUUUUUCUCAUAUGGGGUGCUAUUGGAUGACCUCUUUAUUUAUUUUAUGUAUGUUGCAGAUUCCUAACGGGGCUGGAUUGAUCUUGGGGGUUAUACAGUUUUUGUAUUCCUAUUACAGUAGGAGGUCCAGUGAAGAUUCUAGAUUGCCA